RNAcentral lists this unclassified non-coding RNA (267 nucleotides) under plant metagenome. Its description in RNAcentral is "partial contains small subunit ribosomal RNA, internal transcribed spacer 1, and 5.8S ribosomal RNA". The record is from RNAcentral.
UUUCCGUAGGUGAACCUGCGGAAGGAUCAUUAUCGUACAAAAUGUGAGGGGCAUGCGAGGGCUGUCGCUGACCCAAAAGUCGUUCACGCCCGAGUGUGUCCUCUUGCGUAAUAAUCCAUCUCACCCUUUGUGCACCACCGCGUGGGCACCCUUCGGUAUCAUCUCGGAGGGGGGCUCGCGUUUUCACACAAACCCCCCUUUUAAAAGUGUAGAAUGACCACAUUUAUGCAAUCAAUACAACUUUCAACAACGGAUCUCUUGGCUCUC